RNAcentral lists this ribosomal RNA (454 nucleotides) under Pseudoramibacter alactolyticus. RNAcentral's name for it is "bacterial SSU rRNA". It matches the Rfam family "Bacterial small subunit ribosomal RNA", at positions 28 to 482 of the family's 1533-position model. The record is from RNAcentral. Lineage: Bacteria; Bacillati; Bacillota; Clostridia; Eubacteriales; Eubacteriaceae.
GACGAACGCUGGCGGUAUGCUUAACACAUGCAAGUCGAACGAGAAGUUUUUUAUUGAACCUUCGGGGGAUAUAAGAGACAGACAGUGGCGAACGGGUGAGUAACGCGUGGGCAACCUACCUAUCGGAGCGGGAUAGCCUCGAGAAAUCGGGAGUAAAACCGCAUAACACGGAUAUAUCGCAUGAUGAAUCCGUCAAAACUCCGGUGCCGAUAGAUGGGCCCGCGUCUGAUUAGCUAGUUGGUAAGGUAAGGGCUUACCAAGGCAACGAUCAGUAGCCGGUCUGAGAGGGCGAACGGCCACACUGGAACUGAGACACGGUCCAGACUCCUACGGGAGGCAGCAGUGGGGAAUAUUGCGCAAUGGGGGCAACCCUGACGCAGCAAUACCGCGUGAGUGAAGAAGGUUUUCGGAUCGUAAAGCUCUGUUAUUGGGGAAGAAGCAGGACGGUACCCCU